UACGGAAGGUCCGGGCGUUCUCCGGAUUUAUUGGGUUUAAAGGGAGCGCAGGCGGGAGAUUAAGCGUGACGUGAAAUGUAGGUGCUCAACAUCUGCACUGCGUCGCGAACUGGUUUUCUUGAGUGGGUGCGACGUCGGCGGAAUUCGUGGUGUAGCGGUGAAAUGCUUAGAUAUCACGAAGAACCCCGAUUGCGAAGGCAGCCGACGAGUCCCUUACUGACGCUAAAGCUCGAAAGUGCGGGUAU
This 245-nucleotide ribosomal RNA is filed under the name uncultured Prevotella sp. RNAcentral describes it as "partial 16S ribosomal RNA". It matches the Rfam family "Bacterial small subunit ribosomal RNA", at positions 524 to 768 of the family's 1533-position model. Lineage: Bacteria; Pseudomonadati; Bacteroidota; Bacteroidia; Bacteroidales; Prevotellaceae. The record is from RNAcentral.